GCCAUAUGCUGCUUGCCCUUGAUGCCAUUAUGGGACCUUUUUGUACGAUCUUGCUAUAGGUUGUACUGUCUUGGGCCAUCCCAAUGGAAAGUGAUUCUCAGAUUGUUCAAAGAAGUUUGUGUGUUGAGUCUGCCCCUCUGAAAAUGCCUGUAAUCUUGUGAAAAAUUGUUCAAAAGCACCUGCAAUUCUGGGAUGAUUGGAGAAGAUAUUGCCUUGAUUGGGUACCGGUAGGUUCCAGCAGGAAGGUCUCUUGAAACUCCACAGUGAGGAAUAUGGAGAUAGAACCCAUGGAGAGAAUGGGCUCUCUUGAAAUGCCACAGGUUUACAAAUAUGAAUCUCACAGGAGGACCAUAAUGCUCCCAGCUAGCGAUGGCCCAAGAAUGAAAAGCACCACAUCAAAAUCCUUCUGAAGAGCUGGGCUGCCUGACUCCCCUGACUAAUCUUCUGCAACAACCCUUCUCCCCAUUCUCUCGCCCAGAAAAGCAUGCAGAGAAGGACUGUAGAUAACACCAGGACCCCUGGAAGGGGCUGAGAUAGGAGCAGUGGGCACUGCCAGAGGGCAGUGUCCUGAAGAGGACACCACCGAGCGGGAAGCAACGCGGGCCCAGACAACAACAAAGGAGCAGAGGACGGACAGGACACUACCAGCAGUGGGCGCCCCACCAAGGACUGAGCUAAUUCCCGGAGCAACGAAUGGGAGGCACCAUGGUGAGAAGCCAAAACAGUGGAAGAAUCAGCACAAUUCCCAGGAAAUGUCCAUCAGUGAAUAUCCUCAUCUACUGCCCUGCAAGAGGUUUUAGUCCUGAUCAUACUGCACAUGCAGCAUCUCUACAGAAUGACUGAGGAUGCUUCAUCGUUUCACAGCUCCUACAUGUGACUGGACAUGUGCCACCCACACAAAGCAACUGAGCCUACUCCCUCCAGCCCAGGACUACAUGGGAGAAGACAGACUUUCCCUGGGCCAGAGGUACUGAAGUACAGUGCCAUAUGAAAGAAGAAGACCAAAGUAAAGGGGCUCGCUCACAUGAAGAUGGCCCACCUUUCUCAGGAAAAGGCGGUGAGCCUGAGGAGUCCAGUACCAGAAACCACCUUUCAGAAGCAGCAGCAAGACACUUCGCUCACCCUCCUGCACAAGUCAUUGCUUGCUCUCUCUUCCUCUCCACCCAUGUCCGCCCAGCACACUGAAUGCAGAUUUCUAAGAUGAAACUCUUCCUCUUUGGUCAGGAGGUGAGCCUGGCAAGCUCACCCAACCUGACAGGAGCAACAUCAAGAAUUCACCAUUUUUCUGCACAACUCACAUCCCUCCCAUCUCCAGAAUGCUGGCUGACUUAGAUAAAAAAUCUUACACCCCACCACAAGGGAUAUCAACCCCUCACCAGUGCAACAGGGACUUAACCCUUCUCUCUUGGCUGAGGAGGCCCCCUUGGCUCUGUUGGGCAUAAUCCAACUGGAUACAGGAUAUUAAAGGCAGCAGAGAAGCUCAAUCUGCGCUGACCCCUGGUAAGGAAAGAGGAGUGCUGCUGACUGCUGAGGGAGGACCUCCUGCAUGCCAGAAUGCGGAGGCCAGCCAGCCAGAGACAGACCCCUAUACACAGGCUUGAGAUGCCACAGAGAGGGGAGACACCUUGGAGACCCAGAGACUAUGAACUUCUUACAGUCGGGUAGAAAGUAACGCAGGGAAACUUGGUGGGGAAGCGGUUGUAGAACCAGAGACAGGCUUGGUGUGUUUCGGUAGGAUCCCCACUGAGCGGGUGGUGGGCAGCCCUGCCAAUGACAGGGCCCUGGGUUGGGACUUGGUGAAGAGGGCAGGCCUGGGUCCCCCUAUCCUGACCACCAUCCAUCCUGGGGUGGUGGCCCAGCUCCCUAGCACUCCCCGUAUUAUUGACUCUGGCCAUCAGGCCGCGCUGCCCUGAUCACAAGGGUCGUAUCACUGACUAAAGCCACAGGGCCACGCAGCCCCAAGAUCAGGGGCAGCCCAACAGAUGCAACCACCGAAACGCACCCCCCUCCCAUGGUGACGGGUGUAUCAACCCCGUGAUGCCCCUUCAGUAACCCAAGACUCCUCUAAAGGAGGAAC
This is a long non-coding RNA of Mauremys mutica (yellowpond turtle), 2077 nucleotides long. RefSeq lists it as uncharacterized. The transcript is spliced from 8 exons. Lineage: Eukaryota; Metazoa; Chordata; Testudines; Geoemydidae. The record is from RefSeq and is a predicted model, not a curated record.